UGGAGAUGAAGAAGACGAUGAUAGUUGCAGUUUUCAUUUUCUGUGUUAUCAGUUCACAAUGGAAAGCGUCGAGCCACAGGUGGAUUGCUUCGACGCUUGUUCUACCGGUUGCCCUCUAACCAACGAUAGGCUUAGGCAGCGUUGUGAAGGCAAGUGCCGGAUUAGAUGCGGUCCAGAUUCCAUGGCAGAGGGGAAUUUGGGUUAGCACCAGGAAGAUCAAAAUCUGCAUACACGUAAAGCAUGGUUUCUAUCUGUUGUUCUAUGCAUGUUAGCAUAUAAGAAA
Hibiscus syriacus is the source of this 283-nucleotide long non-coding RNA. RefSeq lists it as uncharacterized. Lineage: Eukaryota; Viridiplantae; Streptophyta; Magnoliopsida; Malvales; Malvaceae. The transcript has 3 exons. The record is from RefSeq and is a predicted model, not a curated record.